GGAAGCCUGCAUAACCUUUUGCCUCCCAGAUGGGAAAACCCACUUCUACACAGGGGAAAAUCUGGUGAUGGAUUUGUGAAAUGCACAGCCCCUGCAGUUAUUCCAUCACACCUUUGACACAGCGUGAAAGGAUGUGCAAGAGAUUCAUCCCAAGAAUACCCUGCACCUGUAGGGAGGGUGGCAGAUGGAUUCUAGGCUGGUGUAGUCUGAAAUGAGGAAAAACAGCCCGUGAAGGUGCAAGCUUGCCGUGAAGGUGUGCACAGGUCACACAUGCCGGUGUGAUGCCAUGUGUGAGAGUUUGCUUCCCGGGGGAACAAUUGCUUCUAGGUACCUGCUCCUCCCCACUGGCAAGUUUGAGCAUCUCUCAGUCAUAAAGGAAGGUAAAUUAACAUUUCUGGUCACUGCUCGUAGCUCUGCCUGUUUAGACCUUCAUUUAACAAAGCUGCUGAUUUCAGCAAGGAGGAAUUCAAACCAGCACCAAGUGCUUUGCUAAUUCCAAGCUGAAGUGAGCUGGAGAGCAGCACGUGGUCCCCAGAACACUGAAAGGAUGGAUGCUGCCAGGUGAUGAGGAUUCUUCCUGGGCAUGAAAUAGACAUUUUUCAGUGCUUUUCCUGUGUUACUUGUGUUUAUUUAUUUUCUUUUAGUACUGUGGGAUGUCCCAAACAGACAAUCCUUCUCCAUCCUCUGGCUGUGGCAGCAAAUGUCUGCUGUUGAACCCAGCACACCCUGCCAAGUUCCAAGAACUUUCUUUAUCCUCUCUGCUGCCAUCUCCUCCUCAAGAAGACUAGAGAAUAAUCCCAAUUAGUGCUACAGUGUGCCCUCCUUUGUCUUCCCCUCCUGUGGAGUGUCUCUGGGCUUGCCUCAGGAGGCAGGACACAUGGGUAGCCAGGUGAGAAGCUGGAUCUAGGAAGC
This is a long non-coding RNA of Poecile atricapillus (Black-capped chickadee), 912 nucleotides long. RefSeq lists it as uncharacterized. Lineage: Eukaryota; Metazoa; Chordata; Aves; Passeriformes; Paridae. The record is from RefSeq and is a predicted model, not a curated record. The transcript is spliced from 3 exons.